This is a long non-coding RNA of Aquila chrysaetos chrysaetos, 3246 nucleotides long. RefSeq lists it as uncharacterized. The record is from RefSeq and is a predicted model, not a curated record. Lineage: Eukaryota; Metazoa; Chordata; Aves; Accipitriformes; Accipitridae. The transcript is spliced from 3 exons.
UCUCUCCUCUGCUGGAGGGAUUAAUUUAUAUUUUCCCUCUUGCUUCUUUCUAAGCUCUUCUCUUCUACCAUCCCCUUCUCUACUUGUCUUGACCUGUUCCAGAUGAGGAGGGGUGAGGUGAGGGGGUAUCACAGCUUGCAGAUGUUAUAGAUCCACAGUGGCAUUUGGUGCAACUAGAAAUGGUCCUUGUGUGCUCAACUAUCUGUUUCAGCUCUGCUACACUACUCUGGCCCUGUAAAAGAGAAGCCCAGGCAGGUUUGUUCAUGUGGAUGUUGCUUCCCUGCAGCAUCGUGUGCUGCUGCACUCCCCGUCUCAGCCCUUCUCCGACACUGCACCUCUUGAGGGGCUUCUUUUCCAAUGUGUAAGGUGAUGCUGUAUUUAUCAGGUGGUGGGGAGGGAUGGCAGCACCCAGCAGAGAGGAGGAGGGGAUGUGGAGGACCCCCCUCGGCGGGCCCUCGGACCCCCUGUGCAGCUGAUGGACAAGUUGCAGCCCACAUCUGGAACGUGACAGUUGUCGAAGGGGAGAGCGACCGUGGCACCGUCGUGCCAUAAAUGUGCAAGGUACGGGCACAGCUGUGAGCGAGGGUGCUGUGGGGUGCCGGCCGUGCGAGUCCCCUGCUCUGGCAGAUCACAGGUGAAAAGAAUUGUGGACGUCUCAUCCAGAUGCCUUUUGCCGAUGACAAAGUCCUUGUUCUGGUGACAGAAGUGGAGAAUAGCUGGCGGUGGCUGCCAGCCCCUCCUCAGGGAGCCCCUGAUGCCCAAGUGCCACAGCUGGGGUCUGAGGCGUGUUGGCAGAGUGACACCGUGCCCCGGGAUGCUGAGCUGGAGAAGGCAGGGAUGCACCCUGCCAGCCCUGGGACGCGCGGGUGGGCACCGGAGCGGAGCUCUGCGCUGGAGCAGUGGGACGAGGGACCCUCGGAGGGAGCCGACGUCCAUCCUGAAAGCUGUGUGACCACUGGGAUCAGGAGGCGGCACAGGAUCUGAUUGCCGGCACCGCGGCUGGGAGCACCGGGCCGGGUCUGAAAUGCAUCGGCAGAUCGGUGUGAGGAGCUGUGCUUAAGAGCCACAACACUGAAUCAUUUCCCAGAAAUCCCCUGUCAGUCUAACCAUAAACACCGGGGAGAGUGGAAGGUGGGGAGACAUGUUUCUUCAAUUUCCUACAACAAAGCAAGCGUAAAGGGGAUUAAGAAGGCAACGCUGGGGGAAAAGAGAGCGAUUUAGAGGGUAAGGGAACAUUAAGAUUGAGAGGGAUAAAAUGCAGAUUGAAGUUGUUGGGCUAGAACAGAAGAACUUCUCAGUCUGUAUAUUUAGCUCAGUGAGGUAUAUAAACAGAAACCUACAGCCAGCUCAGCCACUUCUCCCCCAGUGGAGUGAGUCAUCAGCCCUUGGAUCUAAAGUUAGGUUCACGUCAGAGCUUACACUCUCUCAUUUUAUUUUUCUCUUUCUAUUUUGAAGGGUGUGGGAAAAGCUGAGCACCGUCUCCUGGAAGCAGCAAACAUAAACCCACAACGGCAACAGAUGCCAGACCUGAUGCCCUACCUGGGAGCACUGGGAAAAAGCCUGCUUUGUGUCUGGCUGCUCCUCUUCCUUGCCGCGUGCCUGGGGAUGAGCUCAGCUUACAUGUGGCCGUGUCUAAUCCGGGCACACAGUGGACCCAGCUCUAGGGGGUCUGUGCGCUGUGCAGGCGAGCCGGAGGGUGGGCUGGACUGCACAGCCAUUCCUGGGGGCAGCGGCAGCAGGAUUUGCGGUGAUGGUCAGUGUCUGGCUCCUGCGUGCUGGGCAGGAGAGCAGGAUCUGCCGUCGGGGCUGGCAAGAGAGAUUGGGGCUGGGUCAGCCUGGCAGGAGGCAGGAUGAUGCCGGUGAGACUUGGCUAGAGGAUGCCUUUAAAUCCAGUGUGGGCUGCUGCCUAGUGGGCUCAGCCCACAGCCACCUGCAGACCCGCAGAGGAGAGGGCUGCAUCUCCCAGAGCUAACCCUGGAGCGUCUCUGCUUUGGUUCGGCUCCCCCUUUCCUGCUCGUUCCCUCUCGCCCGGUCCCCUCUCCGAAGCGGUUGCAGUGAUUCACAUACUUUCCCCAUUAAACCCCCUCAGCCAGUGCUGCCGGCUCAGGUGGUGACAAGGACGACGUGGACUUUCCUGUUCCUCUCAAAAAUCACAGAGGGGACAGGGAGGGACCUUUGGAAAUGCUCUGGAUGCAUCUGUAGGACCAGGUUGUGCCAUGCUCCACUCUGGUGUGACCCACCCCCAGGUUGCUCCCAGCAGAGCCCAUGCGUAUUACUCGGGGCAGGUGACAAAACUCUUUGAAAGAGCCUCGGGGGUUAAAGACGGAGCCCUGUGACUACUCUGAGCUGCCAGACGAGGAGCCGUUCAUCUUCAGACCCUUCUCUUGGGGCUGGUGGAGAGGAGAAGGGAGGGCAGCGGCUUUCCAGCCCAAGGCUUGGUGAUAACACCGGGAUUGCCACUGUGGGGGAUGCCCAUGGUGUAUGCUGGAAGGCAAACAGACGUGAUCCUGGGAUGUGGACAUUAGCGAUGACCCACGGAUUAUCCUGGCACUCCUGGUGCACCCUGAGGAUCCUCUGAGGGCUGAGUUUGCCUUUCAGGAGAGGAAACAAGAUUAGACACUUUAUAAAACACAAAAGUGUUAUGCUAAAAGCGGACAGCGGCCGUCAUCUUUGCUCCAAAGACUUUUAAGGGCCUCACGAGAGACAGUCGCGGUGCCAACCACCUUCCUCAGGCUCCAGGGAGCUUGGCUUAUGUGAUGGAAAUGGCCAGGGGCACCUUGGCUUCUGCCCAACGCCCCUGGCACAGCAAAGCCAAGCCACGCAGAGAUGGACGGCAGAGGAAAGGAUACGUGCUGGGUGUUUUUCACCCUAGAUGGUGAACGCACGUGAGCUACCUGGAGGUAAAACCAGAGAUGCUUUGGCUUUACCAGAAGGUGGGCUUGCUCCAUUGCCUUCCUGCGGAGAGUUAAUGACUGAGGGCCUAUUGCGCAGUACAAUUAAAGUGCUUGGUUUCCCUGGCAUUUUUAGGUCGGCUGUGUUAAUUGCCCUGACCCAGCUAUUCUAGUUGUGCACUCAAAGUCUGUGACAGCCGGCACAGACGUUGUCUUGGUGGGGAAGGGCUGGAGAAGGCUUCGUGUAACGCUGCGAGGAAGCAGAGGAGGCACGUGUUGUACCAUAGCCCAGCUGGGAGCUGGGUGUUUUUUAGCUGCUUAUUUACAAUAUAUGCCCAUGGCAGAAACAAGAAUA